GCAUAUCAAUAAGCGGAGGAAAAGAAACUAUCCAGGGAUUCCCUAGUAACGGCGAGUGAAGCGGGAAGAGCUCAAAUUUGAAAUCUGGUAGCCUUCGGUUGCCCGAGUUGUAAUCUAGAGAAGUGUUUUCCGCGUUGGCCCAUGUACAAGUCCCUUGGAACAGGGCGUCAUAGAGGGUGAGAAUCCCGUCCUUGACAUGGACCCCCAAUGCUUUGUGAUACACUUUCAACGAGUCGAGUUGUUUGGGAAUGCAGCUCAAAAUGGGUGGUGAAUUCCAUCUAAAGCUAAAUAUUGGCGAGAGACCGAUAGCGAACAAGUACCGUGAGGGAAAGAUGAAAAGCACUUUGGAAAGAGAGUUAAACAGUACGUGAAAUUGUUGAAAGGGAAACGAUUGAAGUCAGUCAUGCUCUUUGGAUUAAGCCGUUCUGCGGUGUAUUUCAUUGAGCGGGGUCAACAUCAGUUUUGAUCGCUGGAAAAGGGCAGGAGGAAGGUAGCACUCUCGGGUGAACUUAUAGCCUCUUGUCGUAUACAGUGAUUGGGACUGAGGAACGCAGCAUGCCUUUUGGCCGGGAUUCGUCCACGUACAUGCUUAGGAUGUUGACAUAAUGGCUUUAAACGACCCGUCUUGAAACACGGACC
RNAcentral lists this ribosomal RNA (639 nucleotides) under Naganishia globosa. RNAcentral describes it as "eukaryotic LSU rRNA". It matches the Rfam family "Eukaryotic large subunit ribosomal RNA", at positions 38 to 667 of the family's 3401-position model. The record is from RNAcentral. Lineage: Eukaryota; Fungi; Basidiomycota; Tremellomycetes; Filobasidiales; Filobasidiaceae.